UUUAUUGUUUAAUAACGUCCUGCGAAAUAUAUGCAGGAAAAAACCACAAAACUGACACUUUGAGAGGAUUUUAUUGAUCAUGAGGGAGUUAAACUUUUCAACCAAUUUCAUGAUUACCCGAUCAUUCUUGCUAGGAGAAUUGCGAAAUCAUCCCCAGGAACAUCGAAUAGAUUCAUUGGUUUGACGAGCAAAUUCAAUACAACAAUUGAAAUCAAUCCUCCAUAUCCACAGGCUGCUGAGUUAAGGACAUGGAUCAAAACAAUUGAAACAAAGAUACUUGCUUAUAAGAUGAAAAGUACAACUCCUAUGGGAUAUUGUGUUAAUUCCAUUUGAGGAUGACAUUAUAUUUGAGGCUAACAUCCAAGCACAACCUCCGGGACAAAUAUUUAAUAUUGAGGCUGAAUUGUGUCUUGCAAGUAAGGACCAACUCUUUAGUGUGUUAGCAUGCUCAAAUUGUAAGCAAUUAUUCACAAGAUAUAAUGUGCGAAGGGAAAUCUACUGCAUAAGUUGUCACCGAUCCACACAUCUUAUUCCUAGGUGUAAAUUUGAAGUUACUGUUAAGGACAACAACGGUUUUGCAACAGCUAUUGUUUCAGAUGAAAUUGCAGAGUAAAUGUUGCACCUCACUUUCGAAGAAAUUUAUGAAAUUUGCUUCGUCAAGCAAAAUGUGGAAGAUCAACUGAAUGGAAAGAUAUUCAACAUUCAAAUGAAAAAGCUAUUCACAAAAAAAUUGGAUGCAAUGCAAACAUUAUCCAUUUUGUCUUACCCGGAGAAAGAAGAUGUCAUUCAUGAACCAGUGGCAUCUACAAAAGUCAAUGUUACAAAAGAAAAAAAGCGCACAAUUGAGCAUGUUAAUUCAAGGGAUAAAGAAUAUCCAAGCAUCGCAAAUAAAUUUAAUCCUCCCAUGAAAAAAAAUUUUAAGUUCAAACACUUUUGCUAUGGUUGUCGAAGCAGUCAGUUUUUGCACUUUUUUGCUGUUGCCACUGAAUGCCAAAUUUUGCAAGCUUCUGAUGUUUCUAUGUGGAUGUCUUAUGUUCCUGUUCUUUGAUGGAAACUGAAAAUAUUUUCUCCUAUGAUAGCAGGUUAGAGUCAUUUUUUACAGGGAAAAGAUUGUGUGUGGGCUAUCAUUGCUACUGUCUACCAGAAGUUGAAUUCUUAAUGUCUCUCUAUUCGGCUUGAAACAUGAAGCUACAAACAUUGACCAAGAGUAAAUGCUUAAAUUUAGACAAAAGGACUAUAAUACUUAAGAUGUGAGUUGUUAGACGCUUACUAAAGAGCGACAAGCUGCGCUACUAAGGGUGUUGAAUUUAAGAAGUGUUCUGCAACAAGAAGUUACAUUCUUCAAUGAGGAAGUAAAUAUAUAGAAAGUUAUUGGGAAAAUGUCUGGUGACAUUCUUAUCACACAAGACGGUUAAGUGGGGAAGAUGAUGAGGUGUGUAGCAAUGUUUACAUGAGGAUUUUGUAUUGCAUUCAUCGAGGGGUGUCCGCGCCAGCGCAGGCCCAACGUAUGUUAGUUUUUUUUCUUCCAAUUUAUAUAAUACAAAUAAAAUUUGA
Non-coding RNA from Solanum lycopersicum (tomato), 1554 nucleotides. Lineage: Eukaryota; Viridiplantae; Streptophyta; Magnoliopsida; Solanales; Solanaceae. The record is from RefSeq and is a predicted model, not a curated record.